RNAcentral lists this ribosomal RNA (325 nucleotides) under uncultured eukaryote. RNAcentral describes it as "partial 18S ribosomal RNA". It matches the Rfam family "Eukaryotic small subunit ribosomal RNA", at positions 1470 to 1796 of the family's 1831-position model. The record is from RNAcentral.
CCCUUAGACGUUCUGGGCCGCACGCGCGCUACACUGACCAGUGCAACAAGCAUCCGUCCUUGGCCGACAGGCCCGGGCAAUCUUUGAACGCUGGUCGUGAUGGGGAUAGACUUUUGCAAUUUUUGGUCUUCAACGAGGAAUUCCUAGUAAACGCAAGUCAUCAACUUGCAUUGAUUACGUCCCUGCCCUUUGUACACACCGCCCGUCGCACCUACCGAUUGAGUGAUCCGGUGAAUAAUUCGGACUGCAGCAGUGUUCAGUUCCUGAACGUUGCAGCGGAAAGUUUAGUGAACCUUAUCACUUAGAGGAAGGAGAAGUCGUANCA